UCACCUCAUUUAGUUCCGUGGGGACAAAGCAAUCUUUGAUGUAUAGCUGUACUUUUCAUUUUAAUAACUGCAUUCAUCUUUCCAUCUCAGACCGCGUGUAUUUGAAGGUACGUAAAUAUGAUUUCCGUUCUAAUUCAGUUAUUUGCGAAAUCCACUGUUUAUCUGAUUUAAUGUGAAUGUCUUUCUCCUCUCAAUGAACAUUCAAAAAUAUGGGUGCUUUCUUUUUAUACACAUUUUGAAGUAAUCAUCAAAUCUUUAUUUUACACGUUUACAAUAUACUUAAAUUCUU
Molecule: non-coding RNA, 289 nt
Organism: Pelobates cultripes (western spadefoot toad)
Lineage: Eukaryota; Metazoa; Chordata; Amphibia; Anura; Pelobatidae
Source: the annotation of a GenBank genome assembly